CCUUGAUAGUCAACCUGCCCUAGAGACAUGGACAACCCCGGCAAACUGGGAUUAAUCCGUGAUAGGUCAUCUCAUCUGGAAGGAGAGAUGGCUUAAAGGGAUGUAUGGGCUUCUUCCGUGCAUUCGCUCUAGGAUGGGACUGCGUCCGAUCAGGCUGUUGGCGGGGUAAUGGCCCACCAAGCCUGUAACCGGUACGGGCCUUGAGAGAGGUGGCCCGGAGAUGGACACUGAGAGAAGGGUCCAGGUCCUACGGGGCGCAGCAGGCGCGAAACCUUCGCAAUGCGCGAAAGCGUGACGAGGUUAAUCCGAGUGGUCCCCGCUGAGGGGAUCUUUUGUCAGCUGUAAAUAGGCAGGCGAAUAAGGGGAGGGCAAGCCUGGUGUCAGCCGCCGCGGUAAUACCAGCUCCUCGAGUGGUCGGGGCGAUUAUUGGGCCUAAAGCAUCCGUAGCCGGUUCCGUAGGUCCUCUGUUACAUCCAACCGCUCAACGGUUGACCUGCAGAGGAUACCGCGGGACUAGGAAGCGGGAGAGGCGGACGGUACUCCGCGUGUAGGGGUAAAAUCCUUUGAUCCGCGGAAGA
This 578-nucleotide ribosomal RNA is filed under the name uncultured archaeon. RNAcentral describes it as "bacterial SSU rRNA". It matches the Rfam family "Archaeal small subunit ribosomal RNA", at positions 96 to 656 of the family's 1478-position model. The record is from RNAcentral.